AUUGAACGCUGGCGGCAGGCCUAACACAUGCAAGUCGAGCGGAUGAAGGGAGCUUGCUCCUGGAUUCAGCGGCGGACGGGUGAGUAAUGCCUAGGAAUCUGCCUGGUAGUUGGUGAUAACGUCCGGAAACGGGCGCUAAUACCGCAUACGUCCUGAGGGAGAAAGUGGGGGAUCUUCGGACCUCACGCUAUCAGAUGAGCCUAGGUCGGAUUAGCUAGUUGGUGGGGUAAAGGCCUACCAAGGCGACGAUCCGUAACUGGUCUGAGAGGAUGAUCAGUCACACUGGAACUGAGACACGGUCCAGACUCCUACGGGAGGCAGCAGUGGGGAAUAUUGGACAAAGGGCGAAAGCCUGAUCCAGCCAUGCCGCGUGUGUGAAGAAGGUCUUCGGAUUGUAAAGCACUUUAAGUUGGGAGGAAGGGCAGUAAGUUAAUACCUUGCUGUUUUGACGUUACCAACAGAAUAAGCACCGGCUAACUUCGUG
This 484-nucleotide ribosomal RNA is filed under the name uncultured bacterium. RNAcentral describes it as "partial 16S ribosomal RNA". It matches the Rfam family "Bacterial small subunit ribosomal RNA", at positions 30 to 507 of the family's 1533-position model. The record is from RNAcentral.